AAACAGACAUCGGCAAUUCACCAGUAUGGAUCGUUGUACUAAUGCAGCUAAAAAUAAAUAUAAGAAAGAAAGUGAUAUCCCUUUCAGUUUUGAAAAAGGUUCAUUGAGGAUCCAAGACUUUCCACAUUAACAAAACAAGAUAAACUCUUCAUUCAAACAUGUACUAAUCCUUUCCAUCACAACAAAAACCACAGUAGUGCCCCAAACAAACAAAUUUCAGAGCUUUUCUAAGCUAAGACUAGACUCUAUUUCACAUACACGUAGGUAUACGUCUAUAGAUUACUUUACAACAUACAUAAUUAUAUGGAAAUAUCCACCU
RNAcentral lists this long non-coding RNA (319 nucleotides) under Amborella trichopoda. RNAcentral describes it as "long non-coding RNA (ATRI_LNC001630)". Lineage: Eukaryota; Viridiplantae; Streptophyta; Magnoliopsida; Amborellales; Amborellaceae. The record is from RNAcentral.